CCUACGGGUGGCAGCAGUGGGGAAUAUUGCACAAUGGGGGAAACCCUGAUGCAGCGACGCCGCGUGAGUGAAGAAGUAAUUCGGUAUGUAAAGCCCUAUCAGCAGGGAAGAAAAUGACGGUACCUGAGUAAGAAGCCCCGGCUAACUACGUGCCAGCAGCCGCGGUAAUACGUAGGGGGCAAGCGUUAUCCGGAUUUACUGGGUGUAAAGGGAGCGUAGGCGGCAGUGCAAGUCCGGAGUGAAAGGCGGGGGCUCAACCCCCGGACUGCUCUGGAAACUGUACGGCUGGAGUGCAGGAGAGGUAAGUGGAAUUCGUGGUGUAGCGGUGAAAUGCGUAGAUAUUAGGAGGAACACCAGUGGCGAAGGCAGCUUACUGGACUGUAACUGACGUUGAGGCUCGAAGGCGUGGGGAGCAAACAGGAUUAGAUACCCUUGUAGUC
Molecule: ribosomal RNA, 440 nt
Filed under: uncultured bacterium
Lineage: Bacteria
Description: partial 16S ribosomal RNA
Rfam family: Bacterial small subunit ribosomal RNA
Source: RNAcentral